RNAcentral lists this transfer RNA (677 nucleotides) under uncultured cyanobacterium. RNAcentral's name for it is "partial miscellaneous RNA". The stretch from base 262 to 334 matches the Rfam family "tRNA". Lineage: Bacteria; Bacillati; Cyanobacteriota. The record is from RNAcentral.
CAGGGAGACAACAACUGAUUAUGAUGUCUGAAUAAUUUGAUUUAGACCAUAAUCCUGUCACCUUAGGUCGAUCGGUACCUCAAUUUAGAUAACUUCAAUAAUCAAUUUUUCUGGUUGUGUUGAUAUCUAUGUUCAGUUCCUAAACUUUGUCUAGGUCACACCCAAUAAGGGUACUCCUGGGCCAUUAGCUUAGGUGGUUAGAGCGCACCCCUGAUAAGGGUGAGGUCCCUGGUUCAAGUCCAGGAUGGCCCAUUCGGUGUUGGGGGUAUAGCUCAGUUGGUAGAGCGCCUGCUUUGCAAGCAGGAUGUCAGCGGUUCGAGUCCGCUUACCUCCACUGAUCGACUUCCUGACAACGAAGGUUACGGAGACUUUAGUUUGAUUAGACCUAGAUUAGUUUUCUAUUGAUGAACCUAGCUUCUUGUCAAUAAUGGCAAAUUCAAUUUGUUUUGCUUGAUAAGACGCUGGGCUCACUGCAAUUAUUUAUUGCAGAGAUGUUCGGUAGAACCUUGACAACUGCAUAGGUAAGUCUGGAAAGAAUAAAGCAUCUCAUGGAUGCAUUAUUUUUAAUUGAUUUCUUCCAUUUUUGGAAUCAAAAUAUCAGUUAAAUUAAUGCUUAAUUCUUGAGUAAGAAGAGCUGAGAUUCUAUAACUUAAUUUUUUAAGUUAUAGAUAUUAAAU